Molecule: ribosomal RNA, 1363 nt
Filed under: Salmonella enterica
Lineage: Bacteria; Pseudomonadati; Pseudomonadota; Gammaproteobacteria; Enterobacterales; Enterobacteriaceae
Description: partial 23S ribosomal RNA
Rfam family: Bacterial large subunit ribosomal RNA
Source: RNAcentral
AGCAACAAAUGCCCUGCUUCCAGGAAAAGCCUCUAAGCAUCAGGUAACAUCAAAUCGUACCCCAAACCGACACAGGUGGUCAGGUAGAGAAUACCAAGGCGCUUGAGAGAACUCGGGUGAAGGAACUAGGCAAAAUGGUGCCGUAACUUCGGGAGAAGGCACGCUGACACGUAGGUGAAGUGAUUUACUCAUGGAGCUGAAGUCAGUCGAAGAUACCAGCUGGCUGCAACUGUUUAUUAAAAACACAGCACUGUGCAAACACGAAAGUGGACGUAUACGGUGUGACGCCUGCCCGGUGCCGGAAGGUUAAUUGAUGGGGUCAGCGCAAGCGAAGCUCCUGAUCGAAGCCCCGGUAAACGGCGGCCGUAACUAUAACGGUCCUAAGGUAGCGAAAUUCCUUGUCGGGUAAGUUCCGACCUGCACGAAUGGCGUAAUGAUGGCCAGGCUGUCUCCACCCGAGACUCAGUGAAAUUGAACUCGCUGUGAAGAUGCAGUGUACCCGCGGCAAGACGGAAAGACCCCGUGAACCUUUACUAUAGCUUGACACUGAACAUUGAGCCUUGAUGUGUAGGAUAGGUGGGAGGCUUUGAAGUGUGGACGCCAGUCUGCAUGGAGCCGACCUUGAAAUACCACCCUUUAAUGUUUGAUGUUCUAACGUGGACCCGUUACCCGGGUUGCGGACAGUGUCUGGUGGGUAGUUUGACUGGGGCGGUCUCCUCCUAAAGAGUAACGGAGGAGCACGAAGGUUGGCUAAUCCUGGUCGGACAUCAGGAGGUUAGUGCAAUGGCAUAAGCCAGCUUGACUGCGAGCGUGACGGCGCGAGCAGGUGCGAAAGCAGGUCAUAGUGAUCCGGUGGUUCUGAAUGGAAGGGCCAUCGCUCAACGGAUAAAAGGUACUCCGGGGAUAACAGGCUGAUACCGCCCAAGAGUUCAUAUCGACGGCGGUGUUUGGCACCUCGAUGUCGGCUCAUCACAUCCUGGGGCUGAAGUAGGUCCCAAGGGUAUGGCUGUUCGCCAUUUAAAGUGGUACGCGAGCUGGGUUUAGAACGUCGUGAGACAGUUCGGUCCCUAUCUGCCGUGGGCGCUGGAGAACUGAGGGGGGCUGCUCCUAGUACGAGAGGACCGGAGUGGACGCAUCACUGGUGUUCGGGUUGUCAUGCCAAUGGCACUGCCCGGUAGCUAAAUGCGGAAGAGAUAAGUGCUGAAAGCAUCUAAGCACGAAACUUGCCCCGAGAUGAGUUCUCCCUGAGACUUUAAGUCUCCUGAAGGAACGUUGAAGACGACGACGUUGAUAGGCCGGGUGUGUAAGCGCAGCGAUGCGUUGAGCUAACCGGUACUAAUGAACCGUGAGGCUUAACCUUACA